RNAcentral lists this transfer RNA (74 nucleotides) under Cellulomonadaceae bacterium. Its description in RNAcentral is "tRNA-Pro". It matches the Rfam family "tRNA". Rfam says of the family: Transfer RNA (tRNA) molecules are approximately 80 nucleotides in length. Their secondary structure includes four short double-helical elements and three loops (D, anti-codon, and T loops). Lineage: Bacteria; Bacillati; Actinomycetota; Actinomycetes; Micrococcales; Cellulomonadaceae. The record is from RNAcentral.
CGGGGUGUGGCGCAGUUUGGUAGCGCAUCUGCUUUGGGAGCAGAGGGUCGCAGGUUCAAAUCCUGUCACCCCGA